This 453-nucleotide ribosomal RNA is filed under the name uncultured Allobrachymonas sp. Its description in RNAcentral is "bacterial SSU rRNA". It matches the Rfam family "Bacterial small subunit ribosomal RNA", at positions 923 to 1382 of the family's 1533-position model. The record is from RNAcentral. Lineage: Bacteria; Pseudomonadati; Pseudomonadota; Betaproteobacteria; Burkholderiales; Comamonadaceae.
GCACAAGCGGUGGAUGAUGUGGUUUAAUUCGAUGCAACGCGAAAACCUUACCCACCUUUGACAUGGCAGGAAUCCUAAAGAGAUUUGGAGUGCUCGAAAGAGAACCUGCACACAGGUGCUGCAUGGCUGUCGUCAGCUCGUGUCGUGAGAUGUUGGGUUAAGUCCCGCAACGAGCGCAACCCUUGCCAUUAGUUGCUACGAAAGGGCACUCUAAUGGGACUGCCGGUGACAAACCGGAGGAAGGUGGGGAUGACGUCAAGUCCUCAUGGCCCUUAUAGGUGGGGCUACACACGUCAUACAAUGGCCGGUACAGAGGGUAGCCAACCCGCGAGGGGGAGCCAAUCCCACAAAGCCGGUCGUAGUCCGGAUCGCAGUCUGCAACUCGACUGCGUGAAGUCGGAAUCGCUAGUAAUCGCGGAUCAGCAUGUCGCGGUGAAUACGUUCCCGGGUCUU